RNAcentral lists this ribosomal RNA (402 nucleotides) under uncultured soil bacterium. Its description in RNAcentral is "bacterial SSU rRNA". It matches the Rfam family "Bacterial small subunit ribosomal RNA", at positions 26 to 441 of the family's 1533-position model. The record is from RNAcentral.
AGAUUGAACGCUGGCGGCAUGCCUAACACAUGCAAGUCGAACGGGAGUAGCAAUACUCUAGUGGCGGACGGGUGAGGAAUACGUAGGAAUUUGCCCUUAAGUGGGGGAUAACCCGGGGAAACCCGGAUUAAUACCGCAUGACCUCGAAAGAGCAAAGUGGGGGAUCGCAAGACCUCACGCUUUUGGAGAAGCCUACGUCGGAUUAGCUAGUUGGUGAGGUAAUGGCUCACCAAGGCGACGAUCCGUAACUGGUCUGAGAGGAUGAUCAGUCACACCGGAACUGAGACACGGUCCGGACUCCUACGGGAGGCAGCAGUGGGGAAUAUUGGACAAUGGGCGCAAGCCUGAUCCAGCAAUGCCGCGUGUGUGAAGAAGGCCUUCGGUUGUAAGAGACUUAAGUUA